UACGUAGGGACCGAGCGUUGUCCGGAAUCAUUGGGCGUAAAGAGCGUGUAGGCGGCUAUUUAAGUCCUGCGUGAAAUCCUGCGGCUCAACCGCAGACGGUCGUGGGAAACUGGAUGGCUAGAGUGCGGGAGAGGAGAGUGGAAUUCCCGGUGUAGCGGUGAAAUGCGCAGAUAUCGGGAAGAACACCCGUGGCGAAGGCGGCUCUCUGGGACGUGACUGACGCUGAGACGCGAAAGCGUGGGGAGCGAACAGG
RNAcentral lists this ribosomal RNA (253 nucleotides) under uncultured bacterium. RNAcentral describes it as "partial 16S ribosomal RNA". It matches the Rfam family "Bacterial small subunit ribosomal RNA", at positions 524 to 776 of the family's 1533-position model. The record is from RNAcentral.